UACGUAGGGCGCAAGCGUUGUCCGGAAUUAUUGGGCGUAAAGAGCUCGUAGGUGGCUUGUCGCGUCUGCCGUGAAAGCCCGUGGCUUAACUGUGGGCGUGCGGUCGAUACGGGCAUCACUGGAGUUCGGCAGGGGAGACUGGAAUUCCUGGUGUAGCGGUGAAAUGCGCAGAUAUCAGGAGGAACACCGGUGGCGAAGGCAGGUCUCUGGGCCGAUACUGACGCUGAGGAGCGAAAGCGUGGGGAGCGAACAGG
Molecule: ribosomal RNA, 254 nt
Filed under: uncultured bacterium
Lineage: Bacteria
Description: partial 16S ribosomal RNA
Rfam family: Bacterial small subunit ribosomal RNA
Source: RNAcentral